Molecule: long non-coding RNA, 1735 nt
Organism: Salvator merianae (Argentine black and white tegu)
Lineage: Eukaryota; Metazoa; Chordata; Lepidosauria; Squamata; Teiidae
Source: Ensembl
GAAAGAAGGAAAGACCUGGACCAAGCAGGCAAACAAGCAAGCCCUCAGCUAAACCAAAUCGAUGGUGGAAGGCUUAUCGAUCUCUUAUUUAAUAAAAAGCACGGCAAUAGUGCGCAACCUCCCCGCGUGUGUCUGCGAGAGGUUCUGAGCUUCCAGCCCAUAGGUACAAGCACAAAUGUUCGAGGGGAGGCGGGGGCUGAAAUCCUGUUUUGAGUGCGUGACUGCCGAAGUCAAAUGCUUAAUUAAAGACAGUUAGUAGCCUUGGCUAUAUUUCUCUUUAAGCCAGACAGCCUUCUUUCUGUAGCUAGGCUGUAAAUCUCGGGUCUAAAAAACGCAAAGACGCCAAAAGGCUGUUUGAAAAAUAGAAAUAAAUAAACCGAGGGAAGAGCCAAUGAAUGUAUUAUUCGGGUCAGUAAGGGACAGCCGCGGCUUCCCCAAGCGCACAGACAAAAAGUUCGGGGUCUGGAAUUUUUGGAGUGGUGGUGGGGAGGUAGGAGAGAGAGGGAGAAGGAGUGAGCGAGAAACUCUUCCGAAAACGGAUUUGGAAAGCACAGUUAGAAGGAAGGCGCCCGGGAACCGGAGGACUUCUGGGCCAAAGGCUUCCCAUUCACACGAGCGCAGCCAUCCCUGCUGCUUGCCGGGCGGUGACUGCAGAAUCUGGUCAACCUUGUUGCACCGGGUCGGCAGGAAUACGUGUCUUAGCAAACAGGCCUUGGAAGCAAAAUGCUGGAUCCUGAAAGCUGCGUCCGCUCGGGAUGGAUGGGAUUCUCGCCCGUUCUAGGGGUUACGAUUGGAAGGGCUGUCUGACAGAGGAUCCAGACUUGCUUCCCACACAUGGCCAAGUUAUAGGGAGAGCCCUGCUGUCCGAUUUCAAAAAGGAAAACAACCUUUGUCAUACUCCAGGGCACCUUCAUUGGCACAGAUAAAGACCAUCUUCCCGCAAAUGNGCAAGACUGACUUGGGAUUUUCAACACCAGCAAGAUUUCGCGGCUGGACUGCUCCUCCAAUUUCACAAAAACAGUUGCCUUUCCAAACAAUGUGCAUCCCCAAGUAAAACAGAUAUUUCUUAUUUCCUUUGUCCCCUUGCCUCGCCACCUAAUGAGGCUCAAGACCACAAACUCAAAACCAAAUGCGAGUCAAAAUAUUCAUGUAUAUAACCCAACCAUUUGGGAAAUUGUUAAAACUAUUACAUGCAAGACNUGUAAGUGUGUGUUUAGGUAGGUAGAUAGGUAGGUAGGUACAAAAUGGAGGUUUUAUAUGCAGCCUUCCACACCUCUCCUCUUAGUGGCUGAUUUACUGCUNUAGAAGCGUAUUAAAAAACUAUCAAACCAGUGCGGUGCAAAAGAGUCACUGCUGCUAGCGUCCAUAUAUUUCUUAUGACAAAUAGAAAUGGGAUGGUGCAGCCNGCCACUAAGUUCCCAGACGAAAUCAUACUCAAAUCAGAAAACUAAAGUCCUUCAGUCUUAAUUAUGCGGGUGGAGAGCUACGCCAAUCUCAGUAAUAAUUUCUGAGAAUGCAUUUAUUUGCACNUGAUUCCACUGCAUGUCUCAAAAAGGUAGGAGAGAGGCCACUGUUUUCCAACCAAUCGAGGAAGCCCUACUCUCUAAGAAAUCUCAGGUUCGGCUGGGUUUUAUUCAGAGGUUAUUGUUUGGGUUGUAUACUACCUCCAGUCUCCAAGGUUGUGCAUCCAAUAGUGGUCUAGGACUACAAUAAAGUAAAUUAGUUAUUGGGGACA